This 553-nucleotide ribosomal RNA is filed under the name Bifidobacterium catenulatum. RNAcentral's name for it is "bacterial SSU rRNA". It matches the Rfam family "Bacterial small subunit ribosomal RNA", at positions 146 to 711 of the family's 1533-position model. RNAcentral also lists the same sequence under 1 other name. Lineage: Bacteria; Bacillati; Actinomycetota; Actinomycetes; Bifidobacteriales; Bifidobacteriaceae. The record is from RNAcentral.
UCUCCUGGAAACGGGUGGUAAUGCCGGAUGCUCCGACUCCUCGCAUGGGGUGUCGGGAAAGAUUUCAUCGGUAUGGGAUGGGGUCGCGUCCUAUCAGGUAGUCGGCGGGGUAACGGCCCACCGAGCCUACGACGGGUAGCCGGCCUGAGAGGGCGACCGGCCACAUUGGGACUGAGAUACGGCCCAGACUCCUACGGGAGGCAGCAGUGGGGAAUAUUGCACAAUGGGCGCAAGCCUGAUGCAGCGACGCCGCGUGCGGGAUGACGGCCUUCGGGUUGUAAACCGCUUUUGAUCGGGAGCAAGCCUUCGGGUGAGUGUACCUUUCGAAUAAGCACCGGCUAACUACGUGCCAGCAGCCGCGGUAAUACGUAGGGUGCAAGCGUUAUCCGGAAUUAUUGGGCGUAAAGGGCUCGUAGGCGGUUCGUCGCGUCCGGUGUGAAAGUCCAUCGCUUAACGGUGGAUCUGCGCCGGGUACGGGCGGGCUGGAGUGCGGUAGGGGAGACUGGAAUUCCCGGUGUAACGGUGGAAUGUGUAGAUAUCGGGAAGAACACCA